GCACUCUUUCCCCUCAUCACUCCUAGGGUGAUGUCGAUCAGCACAAGGCGUCUGUGAGCUGAUGUAUAAGAUAGUUGGUACGCUUUCCUCCGAGCGCACUGUGGUGCUACUCCGCGAAGCUGCAUCAGCAGCAGUUCAAAAAGAUGUGUGUAAAAAAUGUGGUUUAAUUUUUGGCCAUAUCAUCCAGCUCUAGUUGUUUAUUAGUGUUAAAUCAGUUUUAAAUACUGAUCUAUAGAAGGUAAGCCCAUACUUUGUAUCCUUUGAAUGGGGACAUGGAGGGGAAACCUAAAUCCUAGAAAGAUUGACCUGUUAUAAAUACAUAUUUUAAAAUAUUCAAUUAUAAAGGGUCAUGGGGUCUUUGAACAGGGAUAAGGAGGGGAAACCUAAAAUCUGGAAAGCCUGACCAGCCUACAGACUAUGUGGUGUGUAAGAGAGAGAGAGACUGUAUAUGACAAAGAGAGAGAAAGAGAGCAAGAGAGAGAGAGAGAGAGAGCAUACCAUUUUGAGAGAGAGCAUGUAUGUGACUGUGUGUUAUUAUUGUGAUUCUAAAAGCAUGCUUGGUUAUCAAUAUCCAUUUUAAAAUAUUGAUUUAUAAAGGGUCAACGUGGCCAUGUGGCCUUUGAAUGGGGACGAGGAGGGGAAACCUAAAACCUGGAAAGCUUGACCAGCCUACAGACCAUGUGGUGUGUAAGAGAGAGUGUGUGAGAUAGUAGAGAAAGUAGAGUGUGUGUGUGUGUGUGUUAGUGUGUGUGCGCGCGUGUGUGUUAGUGGUGUGGGGGUGUCAGAACCAGGCCAGUGGAGCCCCUGAGUGACUCACAGCUCUGGCAUGCACUUACUAGAGCCCCCAGCAGCUCUAGUGCUCUCUCUCUCUCUCUCUCUCUCUCUUUCUCUCUCCCUCUUUCUUUUUUUUUUUUGCUCAUUCUCCUUCACUCUCCCCUAGAAGCACUCUUCUGCAAGAGUGUGGGCCUGGAGCACAUCUUUUGUGCACUAUAUUCCACUUUUUACCAAUCCGGACUCUCCUCUAGAGAGAGUGAGACAGAAUGUUCCAAGACAAAACUGAGGGGGAAAAGGAAGGAGUUCACACUAUUUUCCAGCGUUUGGCGCCGGAAGCACAGCUCUCCAUCCUCUGGACUACGUUACCCAGAACGCACCACGCACUGACGUCACUUUCUAACGCGACCACAAGUCCCUGCACAUGACACCUCCAAGAUGCUCUGAUACUGGAAUUGUAGAUCUGAUGCUGAUGCUGAGUUCCUUUUAUAAAGGUAUUUUCUGCUGAUGCAUAAACUGUACAUAAGUAGGGCGUACAUCCACUGGAAUCAGCAUUACAGAUAUACUAACAGAUAACAGUAGAGUUCUG
RNAcentral lists this long non-coding RNA (1360 nucleotides) under Astyanax mexicanus (Mexican tetra). Its description in RNAcentral is "lncRNA (ENSAMXG00005020457.1)". The record is from RNAcentral. Lineage: Eukaryota; Metazoa; Chordata; Actinopteri; Characiformes; Acestrorhamphidae.